Molecule: long non-coding RNA, 406 nt
Organism: Pollicipes pollicipes
Lineage: Eukaryota; Metazoa; Arthropoda; Thecostraca; Pollicipedomorpha; Pollicipedidae
Exons: 3
Source: RefSeq, a predicted model, not a curated record
UACGCCUGCAACUUAAAGGUGGCGCUGCCGGAAAAGGCCCACUUCCGUCAAGUCACCAAGAUUCUGAAACGCCCGGAGACCCUCGUUUUCAUAUUAGCUGUCGCCCUUUUGGGAUCCAUGUGGGGAUUUUUGGAGAACUUCCUCUUUGUUUUCCUGAAGAGUCUCCAGGCACCAACGUAUUUAAUGGGUCUGACCAUGACGGUGGCUGGCCUAGCAUCGCUGCCCUUCAACUGGUGGUCAGACGCCAUCUGCAGGAAGGUCGGCCACAUCAACGUCCUCCUUGUGUCGUUCGCCGGCUACACCUUGAGAUACAUCGGAUAUUCCUUCAUCAGGUGGGAGCCGCCGCUGCUCGUACAUCAUAAGCUGCAUCAUUUGUUCGGAUGAAGAACUCAGUAUAGGCCAUCGC